This 380-nucleotide ribosomal RNA is filed under the name uncultured bacterium. RNAcentral describes it as "bacterial SSU rRNA". It matches the Rfam family "Bacterial small subunit ribosomal RNA", at positions 28 to 412 of the family's 1533-position model. The record is from RNAcentral.
GACGAACGCUGGCGGCGUGCUUAACACAUGCAAGUCGAGCGGUAAGGCCCUUCGGGUACACGAGCGGCGAACGGGUGAGUAACACGUGGGUGACCUGCCUCUAGCUCUGGGAUAAGCCUGGGAAACUGGGUCUAAUACCGGAUAUGACUCCACGGCGCAUGUUGUGGGGUGGAAAGCCUUGUGCGGCUAGAGAUGGGCCCGCGGCCUAUCAGCUUGUUGGUGGGGUGAUGGCCUACCAAGGCGACGACGGGUAGCCGGCCUGAGAGGGCGACCGGCCACACUGGGACUGAGACACGGCCCAGACUCCUACGGGAGGCAGCAGUGGGGAAUCUUGCGCAAUGGGCGAAAGCCUGACGCAGCGACGCCGCGUGAGGGAUGAC